CAUUAUCCUUUUAGUACUUACGUGAUGUGUUUGCUGGCGAUUGAAUGUGAUUUUUAUGAGCCACACGUGACGUAUUUGGGGGUAAGACACAGACAUGUAUGUAAGUAUAGCUACAUAAUUAAAAGGGGAAACUUGGCUGGGAGUGAAGAGCACAGGGGGGAGGGAGUGUGAGAACAUCUAAGAGCACACAGCCAUCCAGAUGAGUGUGUGCACUGCCUCUGGCUUACUGUCUGCCACACCCCUCUGUAGUGCUGGCUCCUGGCCUCUGCUCCACCAUCAUCCUGUUGUCACCAUACAGAUGGCUUGGCCUGCUGGCUCAGGGCCCUAUCCCAGCCGCUCAGGAGGCCCGGACCAGUGUAUCAUAAACACAGGGCCUGCCUGGACCACAUGACCAGCUCAAGGCCAGCUGGGUAACCAAGUGGGAUUGUUCCAAAAUCAAAAGCGCUGAGGACCACCUCCAGGAUGGAGCACGUGUCUGGAGCACCAAGCAGUUGACGCCACCCAUAAUGGACCUUGAACCUUUGGGGCUUCCUCCAUAUUGCCCUUCUCAGAUCCACCCUACCCACUGCUCCACAAGCCGCUCUUGGUUCUCUGUAGACACAUUCCCACACAGUUUUAGUCAGUAGUGUCGUCUUCACAGUUUAAACUGCCUCAUCUACUGUCCACUCUGAGAAGACUCCCCCAAGCUGUGUGGUUUUCCCCAAACCCUGACCACUCACCAUCCAGGAUAACUCCCGUCAUGUGUAUGAUCUGAGGAGGUGCCAGGAGUUCUUAAGACCAGGCCUGUAGUUUACUUUUUGUCUAAUGCCCAAUGUGCCUGAUACGGAGAAUUUUGUUAGAGAAUACAUAUUGAGUUAAACCUCUUUGAAAAAAAAAGGUACAAUUUCAAAAACAAAGUUGCAGUGUGAUAAUCUGCCUUUAGCACUCUGACUGGAAAACAAAUAUGAAUCCGUGUUGUGGAAAGACAGGCAUUGGUUCUCAAAAUGGAAACUGCACCAGAACACAUCUGACCUCCUGGGAGCUGCCAAAAGAGCAUACAUAUUCUUGCGCUCUCAGUCAGUACCUCAGUCAGUACCCCUGGGCCCGAGGCCUAGGCUCCUGUGCUCUAUUGCGAUCCUGGAUGGGUCUCCCAGCAGUCUGCCACUUGCCUUGCUGCACUUCUGAGAAACCACGGUGCAGUUCAGGCGUCCCAAACCUGUGCGGCACCAUUCGCAUGCUCUUCGUUUAAUUUUGUCUUCAGCAGUAGCAUUGGCAGGAGGAAGCGGUUUUAAUAUUUACUUAUUUAUGAAUUCAUUUCUCUGUUCUUGUCCUAGAAGACAUUGAAGGCAGGUAGGACCGUGCCACUAGAUGAGAACAAAUCCAAAUACGGUUGACCUAAGCCAUCUGUCCUCAUGCUUAGGAAUGCCCAGAGUCUAAUACGUCUCCGGUGUUUGUUUUGGCUCCGUACAGCUUGUCCUGUGGUAUCAGCUUUUAGUGGCGUGCUCCGGGAAGGUACACGCAGGUCACCUGCACACUGCAGACUGUUCUUCCCUAACACUCUACCCCGUAAAGACCUACACUCCACACCUGGCGGUUCUCCAUCGCCUUUCUCCCACUGUGGCAUUUCUCUCUCUUUUCAGUCCCAGCUAGCAGCUCUCCCUCAAAGCCACUGUUAAAACAAACAGCAAUUAGAAUGUAUGGAAUUCCAACUGUGCAGGAGUUCAUUGAGACACAUAGACUUUGGGCCUGCUUACUUUUGUAGAGAGAAAGGAGAGAGAGAGAGAGAGAGAGAGAGACAGACAGACAGACAGACAGACAGACAGACAGACACAGACACAGACAGACACAGAGAGACACAGAGAGAUAUAGUAAUUUAGAAGCUCUUCAUAAUGAAGUUUUAAUAAUUUUCUUUUUAAAAUAUAAGACAAGGUGAAAAAAAUGAGCCUCAGCUUUUCUUCAGUUUGUGAGAAAUACUGAAUACAGCUGUGGUGCUGGACUUGCUUGGAACCUUUUGCCUCUAUCUGACAUAGCUUCCUUGCACAUAAACACUUUCAAAUGCUCUUUAAAGUAGAAGUUGUGGGCCGGGUUGGCCGUAGCUCAGUGGUAGAGCACUCGUCUCCUCUAUACAGGGCUCUGGAUUCAAUACCCAGCGUCAUAAUAAGUAAAUAAGUAAAUAGGUCCCAUGGAAAUAUCUUGUAUUACAUUGAGAAAUAAUGAAAAUUACUCACUUCUCGUUAUUUUUAUCCCAAGAACGUUACUUUAUGACCACUUUCUUUGAACGUUAGAUCUGGGUCAUGGAUCUGUAUGCAUAUUUGGGCUGCAUUUAUUUCUCAGAGGAGCAGUCUGUUUCAAGGAGAGCACAGGGCCGUAUCCAUUCUGUAUUGCGGGUUGCCUAAGUCCACUUUGAAGUCCUGUUGAGUUCCUCGUGUGGAAUGGGAGGUUGAGCCAUGUGCCCCACCGCACUGGUCCAGCUUAGAAAUGCUUCCUGUCGCUUUGUGUUAUGUACAGGGGAGUGGGCAGCGGAUGGUGUCCUCUGUUUUGUUCAAGCCACUUUAGUACCUGUUUCCUCGGUGGUGGAGAUGGAGAAAGGCCAGCGUAGUGCUGAAUGUGUCUAAAAGCGACUUCCUUGGCUUGGGGCAACUGUCGAAGGUGUGGGAAGGAACAGGGAAAGGAACAGGAAGGAGUUUGACCUGAGGCAGAAGAUAUUAUCUCCCCCUCACCCUUCAGCCCCCUGCCGUCCCCAGCCUUCUUUCUGCACCCUAUUCCCACUCCCCUUGCUAUGUGUGGCUCUCCACCCCUAGGCUGAGUGACUGAGAAGCCAGCUUUCUCAGCUGGCUCUUCCUGCAGUCUGUGCAUCUUCUCCCUCUGUUUCCCACUCGGUCCGGGACAGGAAGCACUGACAGCAGAUACCAGCAGGCCUUCCACACUGACGGGACCUCAGCCAAUAUCAUCACAGCCCAUACUGGCACUGUGUGGCUGGUGGAAGGCUCCCUUAUUUUCCUCAGCAUCUGACUAUUUAAAUAAAAUGUCAUUUAAAUGAAAGCAUUUUUGAAAUUUUAAAAUAUUUUUCUUGAUUGACUUUUUUUUUUUUAAGGUAGAAAAAAAAAUGAUCAGGGUUUGAUUCAUGUUCAAUAUGUGUUUCUCCAGAUUGGUUCAAGCUUUGUGUUGAAUCAAGUUCCUGGCAUUUUCUUAUUCUGGGUGCUUUUUGAAUUUGGCUGAUGAAAUUGUAGUUACAUCUACUACUCUUGAGAUAUGAACAAUGGAAGGGAAUACAAUUUAUAGAAUGCAUUCGGGGCUCUGUAGAGGUGUGGCCCUCGAGCGUUGAGCCUGAAGGACAGGCCCUCUCCGAUUUACCCUGGUGGCAGUGAUCCCUGUGAGGGUCGCAAGUUCUUUGUGACCAUUUUUGGCUGCAGAUCUGUGCUUGUUAAAUAGGUUGGUUCCAGGCUAGCACUGUGUCCCCUGUGCCUACUCUCUUGUGUCAGCAGAGAAGACAGGUUAGGGAUGAAGUCAGCUCACAGGCUAAAUUUAGUAGGGCUGAUCUGACUGACUCUCUUACUGAAACCAAGUAAGGCUAUCCCUCAGUGUCAGCGGGCCCAGCAGUUCCCUUAGCUUUAUAAAAUCAGAGGUAAGAAACUGAGCCAUUUCAUAAUGGGACUGCGGUUAGGUCAUAGUAUACGAAUGGAAUAUUAUCUGUGCUUAGCGGCGUUCUGUAGAGAUCUUGUCUAGGCUGGGUGUUGUUUUUUUUGUUUUUGUUUUUUUGUUUUUUUGGUUUUUUUUCUUCUUAAUUUUAUUUGACCAGCUAAUUUCAAAAUCCAUUUACUUGGUUUCAGCAUACCAAAUAGUUAGAGAAAGACAGAUAGCAAGUGACGUGGGCCAUGUCAAGGCCUGGUCCAGCUGGAGGGUGGCUUGCUGGAGUGGGUAACACAUUGAAGUCCCCACCAAUUCACUGGCUCAAUACAGCUUAUUUUCUUGAGAAGAGAGUAUAGAAUAUAAGGGUUUUUUUUUUCUUCUUCCCUUAUAAUUUGUAUAUUUCCAUUAUCUUGAUACUUUUGUUAUUGAAGAUAAACAUGAAUCAGUGGGAUUGGAAGGGUUUGGUUUGGUGUUUUGUCCUAAAGUUCGUGUGUGUGUGUGUGUGUGUGUGUGUGUGUUCACCUGCCUUUGAAAUGCCAAACACCAGUAUGCAUUCACCUUGACUUACCAGAGUUUUACUAGGAAUUUUUUUUUUUUUUUUUUUUUUUUUUUUUGCACAUUGGGAUGUUUGGUCCUGGACACACAUGUCCACCCGGUCUCCCUGCUGUGCACGCUCUUCUGACCAUGAACAGAGCUUUACUCUGCAAAUACAUUUAUAGGCCUGAAAUAAAUAGGGCAAGAUUAUCGUCCUUGAAGCCCUGUCCAUAAAAGAGGAGACCACAGCAGGAAGUGCCUCUGAAGAGAGAUGGCCGCGUGCAAAGGAGAAUGCUAUGCUAACUAAAGGAAGGUGGGAGUAAGCGAAGAGACACUCAGAUGCAUGGGUGUGGCAGGGUGCUCCUGAGUGACAGAGUGGCAGCUAUUCAAGGAACACCCCAGAAAGUCUGUCCUCCUCCUAGAGUUGGGUGGGGCUGCCCAGUGUGUAGGAGCCUGCAUAGGGUGCUGCGUUUCUUCAGUGGACAGCCUCCCCAAGCCAGGGUAGCCUGUGCCCCUGCCUUCAGAAGCAUGCUUCAUCACACUCGGAUUCAUGAAGUGCACGGCUGUGUGAACAUUGGUUCGAGGCCACUGGGCGUGCAUGAGAUAUCCCAGGGAACCUAACUUCUUUGGAGGAGCAAGACUAGCACACCUAGGUUUCAGAGAGCUGGGUAGGUACCGAGGACUGUUGACUCUGCCGUCCAUUCCUGCAUCCCGUUCUCAGCUUCUCCCCUUCAUCCUGGUUAUAAGCACCAAUGAUGAAGAUAAAUCGAAGCCCAACAGCUGGAGGAUGGAUGCCCUGAAAUAUAUACCGUAUAUGUAUUUCAUUGAAAGCUCCACCUGUGUGUGCGUGUGUGGUGUGUGUAUAUACAUAUUAGUGACAAGUCAAAGGAUACACAUCCAUGUUAAACUUGAAAAUGUCUCAUAACUAACAGGAGUAAACAAAAAUUGACGACAUUAUUAGAAACGUAAACCAAUAAGUUGUGAAUUCUUAAUAGAUUGCAAAAAUAAUUAGAGGAAUUUAUAAAAAGCAAUAUCCUUAGUUACACCCUAUAUUUUGAUUUUGAUUUUCCGUUACGUGGGGACCAUGUGUGGUAGAAAUAUAAGCUUCACAGCUAUGGUUGAAGGUCUUAUAGGUUCGCAACGUCCUGUGUCCAUGCUGGGCUCUACCUGUCCCUAAGCCACCAUCCUGUAUGUGUGUGCUUAGAGAGGAGAAACGUGUUCGUGUGGACUCUGGAGCUAAUGGGAGCCCUGCCAUAAAUUCCAUUGACUUUUGGGCUUGAGGCUGUGACUGCAGUGUGUAGUUGGCCUCUUAAGGGGUAUGGAAGCCUUGAAGUACCUGUGGGUUUAAGACUUGUUGAGGUCAUAAGUGUGGUGACCUUAGAGCCCUCCCUUGUGACUUCAUCUCUGAUUUUACUUGGUUUGUUUUGUUUUUUUUUGUUUUUUGUUUUUUGUUUUUUGUUUUUUUUUUUUUUUUUUGCUUGCUUUUACUUGGUUGGGUUUUGUUUGAGAUCGUCUCCCUAUUUAGCUUAGGCUGGUCUCCAACUUUCAAUCCUCCUGCCUCAUCUUCCCAAGUGUGUCCCUGGUAAGCUAGUGGUUAGGAAUUGGUAAUCUCCCAGAUUCUUCUAUCAUUGGCAUAGGAGACCACACAUGGCCUAAAAUACUAAGUGUAUCUUGUUUGUUUUGUCUUUUGGUUUAGGUUUUGGAUAUUUUGGUUGGUCAGUUGGUUGGAUGGUUGGUUGGUCGGUCAGUUGGUUGGUUGGUUGGAUGGUUGGUUGGUUGGUCGGUUGGUUGGUUGGUUAGGGCUUGUACUUGUUAUUGGUGAUGGUGUUUUAUUUAGACAUAAUCUCAGUACACCAGGUUAGUCUUGAACUUUGAAUUCUCUCCCUGCCUCCUACAUGCUGAAAUUAUAGGUAUGCACCACCAAGCCCGGCCUACAAUCCUUGCCACUGAAGCACAUAAAGACAUUGCCUAUUUCGAAAUCAUUCACUGGGUCUAUAAAAACCAGUAUCCUUACAAGAGAAAAGUGAGUUCCAAUAUACCGAAUGUUAUUUUGGAUUUUUUUCUCAAGAUGUCAUUUAUGUGACGUGACAAAUUCUUGUUUCCAUUUUUUUCUUUUUCCUUUUCUGUCAGUUUAAAACCUCUAAAGACUUACAGGAAGAAUGUAUAUUUGAGGGAGACCUCAGACAGUCAUUUCUCUUUACAAAUGAGUUUACUGUGUCUUAAGCACCUCUGUAUUUUUCUGAGCGAAGACCUAAGAACUGGAGACCCCUCUGAUGUUUCCCAGAAGAGGAACCAGAGCGUCUCAGGAGUGCGUGCUUACCCAUCCUGUGCAUGGCAGAAGUCACAGAUCUCAUUCUGUGACUAAACUCAUUUUCAUAUUUCAUGUCUGAAAUAGUCUAGCCUUUCCUCAUGUCGGCCUCACUUAAGCAAGUUAUUCCCAAGAGGAUCUCAUGUCCUGGUUUUAACCAUUUUAUGCCACCGAGGAAAACAGAAUAUCUAGAAUAAUUUUGUUGCAAGCGUGGUCCCUGCACGUACACAUAUACCUAUGUAUACUCUGGACUCACACAGAUACAUGUGUGCAUACAUGCAUAUUUACAUACACAUAUACAUAUACACACUGCAUGUAUACACAUGUGCACACAUGCACAUUCAUACACAUAAAUAUACACAUCACAUACCGCAUCCACCACGUAGUGCAUACACAUAUACAUGGGCACAUCUGCACAUACACACUCAUACAUGUGCAUUCAUACACAGAAUCACACAUGUGUGUUUGCACACACACACACGCACACAUGAACAUUCACACGUACCAAAGGACUUAUUCGCUGGCGCAUGCCUGUUCCUUUAUGUUUGAUCUCAUCCAGUGCACCCGUUUUGAGGGGCUACCCUAGCACUCCCUCAAACUUCUCGGGCACCUUCUUAAAAAGUUGAUGUGUUUCAGUUGUGUAUAAAAGAACCUGUUGUUUCAACAACAGAGAAUUACUAUUUUACCACUCAUUUUUACCAUUUAAUUUCUUUCUUUCUUUCUUUCUUUUUGUACUAAUUCCACCCUGGCUGCAGGAUCGAAGCCAUUUCUAUAUUCAGAGUCCAGAGAUGCCAGCCAUUGCUAGCACAGUAGAAUAAUGACAUCAUUCCCAGUUAUGCUCAUCAGCCUCCCACCGCCAUAACAGAAUACCUGAGAUAAUCAACCCACUUUUUUUUUAAUCUUUAUUAACUUGAGUAUUUCUUAUUUACAUUUCGAUUGUUAUUCCCCUUCCCAGUUUCCAGGCCAACAUCCCCCUAACCCCUUCCCUCCCCCUCUAUAUGGGCUUCCCCUCUCCAUCCUCCCCCCAUUACCACCCUCCCCCCAACAAUCACGUUCACUGGGCGUUCAGUCUUGGCAGGACCAAGGGCUUCCCCUUCCACUGGUGCCCUUACUAGGAUAUUCAUUGCUACCUAUGAGAUCAACCCAUUUUUUAAAGGUUUAUUCUAGCUCACGGUUUUGAUGGUUCCAGUGUUUAUCUGAUUGGCUCAUCUCCGCGGGCCUGGGAAAAGCUAACAUAUCAUAGAUUCAGUAGGUGAAGGAGCGGGUACAUCCAGCUCAUUGGCCCGGAAGCAAAAGAGAGGAAGAAGAGAGGCCCAGGAUCCCCAAAUCUCGUCAGAGUUUUGUCCCUGGUGACCAAAGAACUCCCACAAGGACCCACUCCUCAAGUUUCUGCUUCCUUCCACCCUGGAGACUGUGCCUUUAACCUGCGGGUCUUUCAGGGUCAGUCAAGUUCCAAAUGAUAGCAUCGGUCUUAAAGAGGCAGAACAACUAAGCAGACUGCACGUCCGUCUGCCACUGGGCUUCCUUAGGCAGUGCAGUGAGAAUCCUACAUGAAGAACAGAAAAAGUGUCUGCGAAAGGUGACCAUAGACUAAGCUGUGAAGGAAAAGAAGCUGUCUUGUGUCUUACGUGUUACGAAGAGACUUUUAGGAUAGAAAGUUGGAGGCAGGGAGCCAGUCUGGUGUCUUGCCUGUGAAGUGUGCACAUCAGAUGUCUGUGGUGUGUGUUAGGGCUUGAGGCAACACGUACAGUAUCGUUUCAGGUAGUGAGCACCGUAUUCAAGGAAAAGAAAGGUUGGUCUUCAUCCUGUUUAGGUCCUUGGCCAAGUGGCCAUGAGGAGUUGGUAAAGGGCUGACGGCUACUAUGAAGUGGAGCUCACAUGUGGAGAAGGGGCCUCCUAACGUGGACAAGCUGAGGAAAGGUGGACACCAAGGACCAUGACUGUCUUCUGAGGCCCUGCCCCGUCCCCUUUACUCCUCGAGUCAGCAGGAGUCGACUCAGUACAAGCUGAGCACGGCGAGCAUCUGGGGUCCCAGCAAAAGCAACUCAGAUCAACCCCAGCCAGGACCUGACCUUGGCUUGCAGUCUCUCUGACACAUUUCUAUGCAGAGCUCUCGUCUGUCCUGUCAGCUUAUCCACAGACAAAGCAGAGGGAGGGGGAGAUCCCUGGCCAGCGUGAGGUACCAGGCCUUUCUUGUGUCAGACAGUUCUCAGCACUGAUGAGCAGGGCACACCUGGUGACGUCUGACUCUCCAGUCAGCUUCAGUGUCUGCAGUGAUCAAGUCAGGCAUGUCCACGACUGGCAGCUCUUCAGAUGUUUCCUCGCCAUUUCCUAUGAGUUACAUUUUUAAUUUAUAAGUUUUCAUAAGUGACAUAGGAAGAAGAAAAGAGGUACCAGAUAGAAUUGCAUACCAGGGAAGAGGAGAACGGCUUAAGAUAACCAUCACUCUGCAGGCUGGAGUUUCUUUCCACCCUGAAACUAUGAUGUAAGUGUGACAGACAGCAUGUCACCUCUCUGUCACCUCCUUCCCAGGGGUGUGGUUCUUCCCUGGAUUUUAACACAGUAUGUUUUUAUGGCCACCUGCUGUGACCGUGAGAAGCAUAACGCUGAUAUUAGCUUCAGCAUAGUUUCCUGAAGUUUCUCUUCAGUCACGGUCAGGAAGAUCGGUCUUUAUUCCUAUGUCUUCCGAAGGACAUUUGUGACAAUUCACAGAAGAACUGUAAAAAAAUAAAGGAGCCAAGUUUUAGAGAAAGUACAUAUGUCAACAUUAAAUACAAUGUUAGAAUCCACUAUUAAAAAAAAAAAAAGAACAAUUUCUCUCUCUUCCCUAACCCCUCUCCCUCUUUAACUCUUCUAUCCUCUAUGCUUUGCCCGUCUGACUAAAUCCCUAAAAUAAAUGCUGGGAGGUUUCCCUGCUGAUUUGAGUUCCUUCAAUUACUGAAAUUGUGCUUACAUAACAAAAUGUCCUGGGACAAACCUGGGAUGUGUCGAUAAAUCGGCUUAUUAUACAACAGCUUUCUGUUAGGUGGCACGGAGUGCACCGAGGCUCUGUGGUAACUGCUCUCCGUCCUCUGUGGUGCUGGUGACCUUCUUCCGUGCCAAGCUGGGUCUGCUGAACCCUGAGCCUUUAGGCCCCGUGCAGGGAGCUGUGGGGAAGGUGCAUCCUUCUGCAGGAAAUGCCUGUUAAGGAUGCUGUUGAUAUGUGUGACAGCUCGUGAGCCUGACUUGGGUGAAUGGCAAGAGUGAGGAGCUGUGACCUGAGAGAGGAGGGCAAAAGUUUCCAUCUGAAGAGAGAUGACAAGGCCCCUAACCCCAGGGACAGGGACAGGAACCUCUGUCAGCAAAAGAAUGUUUUGUGGGAGUGAGCCUCAGGCUUGUGCUGGUCCGUUCACAUCACUCCCAUCUUGCAUGUAUUCUGAGUUCCACUUUGAGGGCUCCCACGUGCCCCCUUUUCUCCUUGCUUCCUGACCGCCCUCAGCAAAGACCCUUGAAGACCGAAACAUGAUGCUGAGUUAGACUUGACCCUGUCUGUGGGACGACAGCCAGUUUCUCUGUAGACUUCUCCCCUGACUCUCUUAGCACAUCUGCGUCCCUGCAUUUAUUUUGUAUUUGCUGUUGCAUUUGCUGUUGUAUUUGGGUUUGCAGGGCUGUCUGUUCUGUUUUCUCUGUUUUUCUGAAUUCUGUAUCUCAGUGUUUUUCUGGCCUUUCAAACCUCAGUUACUUGCCCCUUAAAAUGAGAUCAUUUUCCUAGGGAAGAAUGUUUUAGGGGACUCACUAUAUAACUCUGGCUAUCCUGAAACUUCACUGUGUAGACCAGGCUGGCCUCGAACUCACAGAAAUCCACAUGCCUCUGCCUCCAAGUGCUGGGAUUAAAGGUAUAAGCCACCAUACCCAGACGUUUAUUGGUUUUUCAUUCACCAAUAAGCAGAGGGGCAUCCCCAUGUGCCACCUACAGAUGGGCAUUUGUUCAGAGGUGACCACAUCACAAAAGUUACACGUGGACACUCUUUCCAGAUUCCUGCCUGUAAGGCCAACUUACCUUAUGUCAGCCUGUCUUAACAAACCAGCACGGGCAGGUAGACAGAACAAAGCUUUCUCUGUGAAAGCUUAGAGAUGACAUUAGAAACAAGCUUGUAGAGACCCUUCCAGUGCAGGUGGGAAGACAGAGCCGUGAUGGCAGAGCCUUCCAGAACCUUCUUUCUUCCUGACUCCAGCAAAAAACCCAAAUCUCUCUCCAGUAGGUUUUGUUUAUACCUUCCUAACUUGUUUUUAUUUGUGAUAGAGACUUGUGUUAAGGUCUCCCCACCCCCUGCCCGGUCUGGAAUGAUAAAUUCUAACUUUAGCUGUGGUCUCAGACUCAGACCUAUGCUUCCAGUUUCAACACUGACAACACUGAGCUCUGUGGAAGCCGGUGACAUUUUGUACUCACCACACACACACACACACACACACACACACACACACACACUUACUUUCUGGACUCUGCUGUGGAAGCCAAGUGUCACUGCGUGAGGCCGGAUAGGUUUAGUAAAACUUGAUGAGCGUGUUGCCUGAACAGAAGUCACACGUUGGGAACUGGGCGUGAAACUUAAAGUAUCCAGAACUGGCUUAGUCCUUAGGUAGAAACUCAGCUAAUGUUUCCAGCCAACAGUCUUACUCUUCAGCUGUGGUGGGUGGGUAAACCACUACAGACCGGUGACCGUAAUGCUGGGGUUAGUGUGCCUGACACGGAUGCGCUGACUUUCAAUCCGCCAUCUUAAUGGCGAGUUUCUGAGAAAGUUGCUUCUCCAAGUAACAUGUAAACAGCAGUCCUUGUUCAUAUCGUAAGCCUCAGCUGUCGUACAUUCUCUGUGUCUCCCCAAAGUUUACCUUUUAAUAAAGAGUCCAUCCUACGUCUCAGCCAAGGUCUCUUUGGAGUUUGAUUUCUACUGCCCCCAAACUUCCAUUUGGAAGAGAGAAGAAAUGUUCUGUCUCCCGUGACAUAGCAGCACUUUUAUCUACUCAGAGUGUCCACUGAUUGUUCCACAUCAUCAGAAUCCCUACAGUCAGGCUAUCCGUGAGUGAUGCUCUGCAGGUCUCUGUGUUGGGGAAGAGUGCGUGGGCCUGUAUGUAUACGUUUGUGUGAAAGCAUGCAUGUGUGCGUGCAUGCAUACCCAGGGAUGCAAGUUACUGUAUUUGUGCGUGCACAGGUCAGAGGUCAGCAUUGGAUGUCUUUCUCUAUUUGUUCCUGAUGGUGUUUUUUGAUACAGGGUCUCUUACUGAACCUGGAGCUCACUGAUUGGCUACACUGGCUGGCCAAUGAGCUUCAUCCACUUUUCCUUUAUGAGGGGGGCGGGGAGUCUCCCACUAGGACUGGAACUCACCAGUUCAGCUGGGCUAGCUGGUCAGUGAGUUCCAGAGAUUUGCUCCUACUGCUGCCCCAGCACUGGGAAUGCAGUCAUCUCGUGUCACCGAAGCCUGGUUUUCACAUGGGUCCUAGGGGAUAAACUCUGGGCCUUGUGAUUGGCACUUACUGACUCAACACUCUCUCCAGCUUCACAAUUGAACUCUUAAAACAUGCGUGGUGUAUGUGGUGUCUGUGUGUCUGUCUGUCUGUCUAUCUCUGCCUCUUGUCUGCCUGUCUGUCUGUGUAUAUGGGUAGAGGUUUCUGCUGACUGCUGGAAACAGAACCUCAUGUUUUGAAGUAUCACUUUCCUCUUUAGUCAGCCCUGAUUUCCCACAGGGACACUUCCUCCACUAGGAGGUUUGGGCUUUGGUGGCAGAUGCAGUCCUACAGAAGCAUUGGUUCAAAGAGUGACCAGGCCAAAUACAGAGAGACAGUAGGCCUCUGUGUCUGUAGUGUACCGAGCCUCCAACCCAUUAUGCUCUCAUGAAAGCUGUUUUAAUUGCUAAUAUGUGGCUGUUGAGAUAUGGCUGAAAACAGUUACAUUGUUAAUUUAUGAGACCAUCAGGAGCUCAGAAAGGAGUGUGUGGAAAUAAGUCACCAAGAGAGGAGAGGAGCCCCUACUGCCCCUGGGAGCAUGCAGCACACCGGGCCUCUCUGACAUAAACCACAACAAAAGACGGGGAGGCCAGAAGCAACCAUGCUGGCGAGAGUCUGAGACAUGAGUAGGUGAGACGUCCUGUUCUGAUUAGCAGAGAACUUCAAGUAGCCUUUGAAGAAGUUGGUGGCAGCCCGAGCGAGAAUCAGAUCAUCAUCUAAGUUUAGAGCUGGGCACUCUAUCCAGCCCUAACGUUUUGCACAUGAGAAUAUUGUUGGCUUAGAGGGUGUGAUGGCAUGUCCAACGUAUUCAAGAUGGGGAAGGCUUCGGAGCCAAGGGCUGGCACUCCGCUCCCCUCCUCCUCCGCCCACCUCCUCCUGGAUAGAUGCUUAAGAAAGUGUUCUAACAGUUCUUUACCUGUUAAGAUUCCUGUAAUGAAAGAGAGGACCACAUCAGUAUGCCCAAUUAAUUCUUUUAAUUAAGGCUGUGAUUCUCUGCCCCUCAUUGAGUAGGAAGAUUAACGGAAAGAUUAGCUGUACCCAGUCCCCCAGCAGCUUGGCACCUCUGCCUAGUUCCUUGGCCUAUGGGAGUUAGAUAGGCAGUUUGGGUAGCUGCUUAUGGCAGAGCCCGGGGUUUGUGUGUUUUCAACAGUAGAGGUGAGGGGAAGAGGAAAAGAGAUACGAGAACAAUAGGAACAGAGAGAAAGGAGACAUUUAUUUAACUUUAUGCACACACCGUCUAUACUUAAAUGGAAUGCUUCUGAUUCUAUACCGUUGAAGUAGAUUUACAGUAUGUCCAGCCUAAUUUUCUGCUGUAUAAUAAGCAAGUGCUUCAGUUCGCUUUCUGUUUCUGUGAUGAAACAAACAAACAAAAGCCAUGUUCAAAAGCAUCUUGGAGAGGAAAGUUUAUUUGACUUACACUAACAUGUCACAGUCCAACGCAGAGGGAAGGCAGGGCAGGAACUCGAGCAGGGCCCUGGAGGCAGGCACAGAAGAUGGAGGAGCACUGCUUACUGGCUUGCUCCCUUCAGCUUACUCAGUGUGCUUUCCUGUACACCCAGGACCACCAGACGAGGAUGGCACCACUCAGACUGGGCUGGGCCCACCCACAUCCAUCAUCAGUUAAGAAAAUGUCCCCCCAGUCUUACCUGGAGCAACCAUACAUGGGCAUUUUCUCAGUUGAUGUUCCCUCCUCUCACGUGGGUCCACCGAGUGUCAAGUUGGCAGAAAACUGGUGCCCCAGAGUUUAAAUUCUGCUUUGCUGUUGAUUAGCAGAUGGUACCCUGAGCAUGUCCUCAAAUCUGUAAGGUGGCAUUCUCGAGAAAACACCUCAUAAGGGUCCUGUGCGGUGUCAGGAUGAUGGAAACCCAUGUGCAGUCACUAACAGAUUGUAUAGGCAUGUAUGGGUGUUUUCUAUCUUAUAUUUCUGGUAUAAUAUAUCCUCCCAUGGCUGUGUUGUUAAAUGCCCGCCCCCUUUGACCUGAAAUCCUCCAUGUGAAAAUGCCCAUUUACUCUGGUGCUCACUCUGCCCUUGGAGGGGAUUGGGGAACAAGAGGUUUUGCCACACGUCUCAUCCUCACAGAUAAACAGUGUCAAUCAGAUCCCCACAGCUUCUGCAUCUAACUGUUCCUUGUUGACCCUGCCUUCCUCCUUUGAUGCCUCCUAUGAUGUUGGAAUUCAUGUCCCCAGCUAUGUCAUGGUCAUGGCUGAGACCAUCUGAAGGCUUCAGGGCUGGAUGUAGCCCAGCACUAUGGAGAAGCAGGACUGUUUCCUUUAUUUCAAGCCGUCUCUAAACUCUCGUCGCCUUUCCUAACGCGAGCACAUUGUGCCGAUGGCUUCUGAGGGCAGCACAUUACAACCAGCCUCUUGGUGGACAUAGCAUCCUCCCCUUGGGUUGCACUGAUUCAUCUUGCAUUUAGUCUUUCAAUGUUUAUCUUUUUACGUUCUCUGAAGACUUGGUAUGAUACUUGUUUAGUCUUUAUAAAAGGAAAACACCAAAUCUUAAAAGAACACCUAGCAGCUCUUGUACUGUCUCACUGGGGAUUUUGGUAACAUUUCCAUUUGCCAUUUUCCCAGCCUCUGAGCUUCAUUCAUUAUCCAAAUAAUUACUGGAAUCUUCUGGUUUCAAAUGCUAUAUUAAAUGCUUAGGUACAAAAGGGACAAGGGCCAGGGGCAAACGUGCUCUAACACUACAUCCUGUAGAAGGUGAAGCAAGAACUAACAGAGACAUACAUAGGACAUAAGAUAUGACCAGUGCGAGGUCACAAGGAGGGAAGUAGGGCUACCUCAGAUGGCGCCAGGAAGGAAGACCUCUCUGAGACAGUGCCUUCUGCUCUCUGGUUGAAGGAAACAGAGCAUAAGGUUCUAGGUGGCCCCAGGGUGUACAGGUCCUGAUGCAGAACCAAAGGGCAUGUCCCAGGAAAAGCUGAGAAGCCUGCAGUGAAAGGAGCGUCCUAGGGGAAGCCUCGGAGUGAGGUAGAGCUGUGUCCUCUGGGCAUGGUGCCCUGGGGAAGGAAUGUGGGUCUUACAGUAGCUUCAUAAGAAGCCACCUGGCGCUCCUACAGUGUCAUCGAGGUUGAGUUGUAGAAACCGUGGCAAACUAGAAUUCAAGGAAAACAGACCGUGUCAUAUCCGGGCUAAGGAAAUAACCCAGAUCUAUGUACCUGAGAGGGAACCGUCGAUGGCUGACUAAGACUUCCCAGCAGAGGAAGUGGUGUUUGACUGUUCUAGUUAGGUGCCAUCUAUUUGUUUUGGGCUUUUGUUUUGUUUUGUUUUGUUUUGUUUGUUCGGUUUGUUGUUUUUUUUUUUUCCUGUGUAGCCUUGGCUAUUCUGGAAUUAGCUCUGUAGACUAGGCUGGCCUCAGACCCAGAGACCCGAUCUGCCUACCUCUGCCCUCAGGGCACUGUGAUUAAAGAUGUGUGCCAACUGGCCCCGCUACAUAGAUGAAACAGUGCUUUUUUUCUAAUAAAGGGAGAAAAUUCAGGGUCUCAAGAAUGGGGGCCAAAUGCCGUUAUGAGGUUGAGUAGAAUGACGGACGAGAGAGCGGUUGAUUCUGUAAUGGGUGUACUGCGGACAACUCUGACCAGAAUGUAAGACUGGAGGACAGUUGCUAGCCGUGGAGUAGAACUGGCACAGGAAGCAGUAGGAGUGGGAACAGGAGGAAGAGGGCCCGCUCUGCUCCACUGGCUCAGUGGUGUGUGUGAGGCUGAGAGAGUUGGUUUUGCUUUAUUUUGUCAAACUCCCGUGGUACCAGAGCACACUUCGGAGUUUCAUAGAAGAUCUUUACGGAGGGGAAUUAGCAGAGCAAGCAAGGCCGAGGGCUGUUGCAGGAGCCACUCAGUAGGAAGGCAAGAAGAUGAGGUGAGACCCAGAGCACAGUAGGAACCUGGUGUGGGUCCUUCUGUGGUAAAGCUCCUGUCCCUGUGAGUACCUUUAAAGUGCUGCUGGUGGGCUCAACGGACUUCAAGAUUUUCUUUUUACGAUGUGUAAUCAGCAUACCCUUAAAAGACACAGGGAAACAAGACCUGAAAGUAAUCUACUGCACACACACACACAUGGGCCAGCAACAUGACUUCUGCACAGCUCCACAAGUCGGCCAGGAUCUCCUCUGAGUCUAGAAAAGCUGGCGUGUGUCAUGACAUCUAAAUGUCCACGUAGCAUGUCCUUGCUGGAGGAGCUCACAGGCGGUAUUCUUUCUAUGUGUCCUGCCUACAGGGCAGUUACUCUCCUGCCCCAACGCCCAUAUGCCUGUGUAAUGCAUAGGAAGUCGGGGAAAGCUUGGGCCGUACAGGCAGAAAGCUAUGCAGUCAGGAUUCCAAGCACACCAUUUAGUGUAGCCUUGGUGCUUAAGCUUUUCAACAAUAUGAAGUACAUCCCAGCUUAUCUUUCCAGUGUAAAGGAACCAUGGCAAGAAGGCAGAACACAGCGCCACAGACAGCUCACUUGAAAAUACGCACAUCAAAUCCCGUUUGUGAAUAUAGCCCUGCACUGAAGGCUUAGCAGUGAGGAUUAUUCCAGAAGUGCAGAGCUCAGACCUAGACAAUCAAUGGAUGGGUGGGAGAGCACCCUCAUAGGAGCAGGGGGAGGGGAUGGGAUAGGGGGUUUCUGGAGGGGAAACCAGGAAAGGGGAUAACAUUCGAAGUGUACAUUUAAAAAUUCCAAUAAAAGAAAAGAAAAAAAGGAAAGUCAAUGGAUAUGAUUGAUCAUAUUAACAAACUAAAGGAAAAAGAUUUUUCCCUGAUUGUUGAUAAAAUUCAGUGAAAGUUAAUUGCUAGUAAAAUUUAAGAGUAUUUCCUUAGUAUUAAACAUCUGUGGCUAAUACACACACACACACACACACACACACACACACACACACACACAUAUUUUGGUGGUAGUGAGUUUUUGUUUUUUGUUUUUUGCUUUUUGGUCUGAGACAGUAUUUCUCUGUAUAGCCCUGGCUAUCCUAGAACUCCUUCUGCAGACCAGGCUGGACUUACCUCACAGAGCUGCCUACCUUUGCCUCCGGAACACAGAAUAUUCUGACCAAGUAUCAAGCUUAUAUUCCCACCAGCAGUGUGUAAGAGUUCUCCUCUGGGGGUUGGAGAUUUAGCUCAGUGGUAGAGCGCUCAAGGCCCUGGGUUCGGUCCCCAGCUCCGAAAAAAAGAAAAAAGAAAGAAAAAAAAAAAACAAAAGAGUUCUCCUCUGGCCACCUCAUCUGCAUUUCUAGUAUUUGCUUACUUGAUGAUUACAGUUAUUAUUCUUAAUGUGCUUUAAUUUGCAUUUCUCUAGUGGCUGUUGAAGUCGAACACUUUUUCAUGCGUUUAUUGUCCAUUUAUACUUAUUUCUGAGAACUAGCUGUGUGUUUCACUGGCCCACUAACUGGUUGGGUUGCUCAUUCAGUGCUACAGAACAUUCUCUGCACACUGAAGAGAAAAGUAACACAUCCAAGAGGUUAGAGGGAAGGGCAGACCAUGCUAGAAUAGUUGCUAAGCAAAUGAGGACCCAUCAGAUGGUAGGAGUUUCACAGAUUACUGAGCGUUAAUGGUUUCGGCUCUCUAGUCAGAAUAUAGACCAGCAAAUGACUAAGAACAGGGUCCUCACCUUCACAGACGAGCAGCCUUAGGUGAGGGACUGCUAAAGGACAUGUAACUAGAGAGCCUGUGAGUGUCACUGUCCAAUACCUCACAAAAUAAACUUCAAACAAAAAUUAGCCAGAUAUCAAAAAAAAAAAUCACUUACUAUUAAGGAAACUACGUAGAAAAACUGAUUUACGCAUGCGCACCAAACACAGUGGAUAAAACAAACUGCAGAUAUGAACACAUAAAUUAACACCAACACCGUAACAGAGGUGUGGGGGGGUGGGGCAGGAGCUAGGGAUUCAGCCCACGGCCUUCUGGGUAAUCAGCAGAGACUGUACUGCCAAGCUACACCCCUGCCCCAGGGGAUUUACUUUUGAUUUCAAAACUUGCUACAGAGACACAGUAAUCAAGAUAAUGUAUGUUACUGGCAUAAGGCUAGAUAUGUAGGUAGAGUAGUCUUGGAAAUCAAGAAGAAAAGGGGUUAAGUAAAUAUAAGGUAAUUAUAAGCUAAUUAAUUUUUCCAUGAGAGAACCUGGAUAAAUGUUGAUUAGUUUCACAAAAUCAGAUGGGAGGGAACCAGAGACGUGGCUCAGUAGUUAAGAGUAUUUGAUGUUUGCAAAGGACCUGGGUUUGACUCUUCUCACCCAUGUGGUGACUCGCAGCUGCCAACUUCUAGGCGGAUCCAGUGUCCUCUUCUGGCCUACUUGGAGAGAUGGACAUUCAAGCAAAACAUGUAUACCCACCCCCUCCAAAUAAAUAGGUCAAUUUUUAAAUUUAUGAAUGAUUCUGGGAUGACAGUAUCCAAAUUCAGAACAAUGAAAUGUUUAAACUCACCCUAUCCACAAGAGUCAACUCAAAAAUUGAUCAUAAACCUGAAUGUAAAAACUAAAAUCAUGAAGCCUUUGGAAGAAAGCAUUGGGUACUGGUGUUCCUAACCUUGUGGGCAGGGUGGGUGUGUCUGACCUUGGGUUGGGCAGUGUAGGUGUGUCUGACCUUGUGUUGGGCAGUGUGGGUGUGUCUGACCUUGUGUUGGGCAGUGUGGCUGUGUCUGACCUUGUGCUGGGCAGUGUGGCUGUGUCUGACCUUGUAUUGGUCGGUGUGGGUGUGUCUGACCUUGUGUUGGGCAGUAUGGGUGUGUCUGACCUUGGGUUGGGCAUUGUGGGUGUGUCUGACCUUGUGUUGGGCAGUGUGGGUGUGUCUGACCUUGUAUUGGUCGGUGUGGGUGUGUCUGACCUUGUGUUGGGCAGUGUGGGUGUGUCUGACCUUGUAUUGGGCGUUGUGGGUGUGUCUGACCUUGGGUUGGGCAUUGUGGGUGUGUCUGACCUUGUGCUGGGCGUUGUGGGUGUGUCUGACCUUGUGUUGGGUGGUGUGGGUGUGUCUGACCUUGUGUUGGGUGGUGUGGGUGUGUCUGACCUUGUGUUGGGUGGUGUGGGUGUGUCUGACCUUGUGCUGGGCAGUGUGGGUGUGUCUGACCUUGUGCUGGGCAGUGUGGGUGUGUCUGACCUUGGGUUGGGCAGUGUGGGUGUGAACCUUCGCCCACCUUGGGGCAGGCUGUUCUUUCUUUACCAUGGCAACAAAAGCACAAGCGAUGAAGGGUUAAAUUGGCUUAGUUCAAAACUGAAAGCAUGCACUUGAGGUGAUACUGUCUGGGAGAAUCCACACAAGGCAGGAAGCGUUUGCAAACCUCAUGUCCGAUAAAGGAGCCCUGUCUGGAACUUAGGAUUCCCACCACUCAACCAAAGCGUACCUCAGUGUAAGCACAGGCAAAGAACUUGCAAAGAAGCCUCCAAAGACAGUCUACGGUGGCCCAGAGGUGCUUUAGGAAGGUGUUCAGCGCCAUUAGUAAUUAGUGAAAUCCACCUGAGGCACCAACCACACCCACUAGGACAUCGAGGAUCCAAGCAGACAGCAGUCAGUGUGGAGUGGAAUUUUUCGUACAGAGCUGGUGGGAAAAUAAGAUGGUGUGCUUGCCUUGGAAAACAGAUGGGCAAGUCUUCAGGAUGUUUACCACAGACACACCAUGUGACUCACCAGAAACUCCUCCUCACAGCCAAUGAGAACAUACGCCUCGCAAGAACCUACAAAUGUUCUCAGCAGCUUUGCCCGACAGUCCCCAAAUGGCCCAGAUGCCCGGCUGGUGAUGGAGCGAUAGAUGUGAUAGGAGUUAUAUAGUGGAAUACCGUCCACAGAAAGGGUUGGAGGUCUGAUGCACCUUAAAAGGUUUCUCCGAGGAAAAGAGCCAAGCUCAAGGGUCACAAAGUGAGAUUCCCCUUAAGUGAGAUCUGGGGAAAGGCAGAACGUGGAAGUUAGAGUAACAGUUGCCAGUGAGCAGGGGAGGGGAACAGAGAGAGUGGUGCCAGUGGCUGUGAGGUCUGCAUGUGGUGUUAAAAAUCUGGAAUUAGAGACCUGGUAUUGGAUUGACAGUCCUGUGAAUGUGAAUACAUUGACCCACUGGCCAAAUCGCACAUUUGAAAGGUUGAGUGUAUGGGUUAUAUUGAAUGUUUUUAAAGGCUAUUUCCUGUAUGCCUUUUCAAUUCAAAACUACAAUGGAAGGAAUAAAUGGAGAUUACUUUUUUAAUUUUCAAAAGGAGGGAAGCACUGUUCGUUUUGCUUGUUCUAUGGGGGUUUGUUUUGUUUUGUGGUUUUUGAGACAGGGUUUCUCUGUGUAGCCCUGGCUGUCCUAGAACUUGUUCUGUAGUCCAGGCUGGUCUUGAACUCAGAGAUCCACCUGCCUCUGCCUCCCAAGAUUAAGGUGCUGGGAUUAAGGACGAGGACCACCACCACCCAGUGAGAGAAGAGAAGUUGUAAAACACAGGCUCUGUUAAUACAGAGCAUAGAGUUUACAUAACAAAGAAGAUAAGACUAUCGUGAGGACACGUCUAAGCCACACAAUUCAUAGUCUACAAUUACACCUUUAAAAAUAUGAGUGAGGCUGAAUAUAAAUAUGCAAAAAUUAUGCUAAAAACAUUGACUCUUAUUUUUAACUUUUACCACAAAAUAUUUUAAUAUUAAUAGCAAUAAGACUUUCCAGUUGUAUGCCCAGAUGGCUUGUAUGUUACAUGUUGUGACAAAGAAAAAUGACUUCCCUAGAUAAAAAAAAAAAAAAAAAAAAAAAAAAAAGAGCCCCCAGCACUUGCAUUAGGAGAGUAACCAUAGUAACGACGAGUUCUUUAUCCACCGGAAUCCAGUGUAGACUGACCCAUCACAGGUGGUGUCAGGACCUGGCUGGUAUCAGUUGGCAGCUUGGAAUGAGCUCUACGGAAAGUGAUCUUUGCAAGCUUAUGGAGAAAAGAAUGUCUAGGGAAGAUGUUGGGUAGGUUGGGAUCCUUGGAAAGCCAAGGUCAGUGCUGAAGGAACAUCCUUGUGCCUGGGGAAGAGGAUGGUAGACUAAGAUACUACAUUCUGCUCUAGACAUCCUGCUGCCACAGUGCUAAACCCCUAUCUCUGCAUUUCUCUCACUCCCUCCAUUGGAUGGGGAUAGAAACGUGCCCAGCAGAGCGUGGGACGCGGGCUCUCAGUGUUAGUGCGAAGGCAGGAAAAGGAGACUCACCUACAUUCUCCUUCUGGGGUAUGAGGCGGGGCCCUGUAGCAUCUCCCCAGGAAGAAUGCACCCAAAUGCAGAGGAGUCAAAAAAAAAAAAUGACAGAUUCCCACUAACAUUUGGAAUGACUAAAAUUAGAACCAUACUUUCUAUCACAAACCAAAAUAAAUUCCACAUGGAUCCAGAAUCCGAAUGUAAAACUGGAGAUCAUAAAAGCACUUACAGAAUCUAUGCAUGAAUAUUUAUGGGAUGUUGGUUGGGGGAAGUUGCUAAGCAUGAUGUAAAUACCAGAAUGCCGUUAAAACGUUGGAGAGAGAAUAUCGAGUGACCCAGAAAAUGCCCCUGGGUGUGGUAGAGUGCUUGCAUAGCUCGAACAGGCCCUGGGUGUGAUUCCCAGCA
This is a non-coding RNA of Rattus norvegicus (Norway rat), 21431 nucleotides long. Lineage: Eukaryota; Metazoa; Chordata; Mammalia; Rodentia; Muridae. The record is from RefSeq and is a predicted model, not a curated record.